Molecule: ribosomal RNA, 581 nt
Filed under: uncultured bacterium
Lineage: Bacteria
Description: bacterial SSU rRNA
Rfam family: Bacterial small subunit ribosomal RNA
Source: RNAcentral
UCCUACGGGAGGCAGCAGUAGGGAAUCUUCCGCAAUGGACGAAAGUCUGACGGAGCAACGCCGCGUGAGUGAUGAAGGUUUUCGGAUCGUAAAGCUCUGUUGUUAGGGAAGAACAAGUGCAAGAGUAACUGCUUGCACCUUGACGGUACCUAACCAGAAAGCCACAGCUAACUACGUGCCAGCAGCCGCGGUAAUACGUAAGUGGCAAGCGUUGUCCGGAAUUAUUGGGCGUAAAGGGCUCGCAGGUGGUUUCUUAAGUCUGAUGUGAAAGCCCACGGCUCAACCGUGGAGGGUCAUUGGAAACUGGGAGACUUGAGUGCAGAAGAGGAAAGUGGAAUUCCAUGUGUAGCGGUGAAAUGCGUAGAGAUAUGGAGGAACACCAGUGGCGAAGGCGACUUUCUGGUCUGUAACUGACACUGAAGCGCGAAAGCGUGGGGAGCAAACAGGAUUAGAUACCCUGGUAGUCCACGCCGUAAACGAUGAGUGCUAAGUGUUAGAGGGUUUCCGCCCUUUAGUGCUGAAAUUAACGCAUUAAGCACUCCGCCUGGGGAGUACGGCCGCAAGGCUGAAACUCAAAGGAA